Molecule: long non-coding RNA, 560 nt
Organism: Alosa sapidissima (American shad)
Lineage: Eukaryota; Metazoa; Chordata; Actinopteri; Clupeiformes; Clupeidae
Exons: 3
Source: RefSeq, a predicted model, not a curated record
CCCAACAACGCUUCCUUAUCAAGGCCAAAUGUUAUGUGACAUUGUAGUCUACGCCAUCUCGUGGCUAGUCAUGAAAUUGUAGGCCCUAGCCUGAAAAUAAUCUUGCCAGAGCCCGACUCCGCCCUGACACGUUGAGGCAUGGACCACUGAAGGUGUGCUUUGGUAUCUGGCACCAAGAUGUUAGCAGCAGAUCUUUUAAGUCCUGUAAGUUGCAAGAGCCGGCAUUAAAGUUCUUCAGCAAUUUGAGCUACAUCCAUUAAUGAGCCUUGGCCACCCAUGACUCUGUUGCCAGUCCACUGAUUUUCUUUCUUUGGACCACUUUUGAGGUACUGACAACUGCAGACUGGGAACACCCUACAAAAGCUGCAGUUUUGGAGAUGCUCUGACCCAGUUGUCUAGCCAUCCCUAGUCAAAGUCGCUCAAAUCCUUACGCUUUUGUUCCUAUACUUCUAACACAUCAACAUUGAGGACAAAAUGUUCACUUUGGGCCUAAUAUAUCCCAUUCACUGACAGGUGCCAUAAUAGUGAGAUAAUCAGUGUUAUUCACUUCACCUGUCAGU